CACGUAGGUGGCAAGCGUUAUCCGGAUUCAUUGGGCGUAAAGCGCACGCAGGUGGCUUUUCAAGUCUGACGUGAAAUCUCUCGGCUUAACUGGGAGGGGUCGUUGGAAACUGAUUGGCUUGAGGCAAUGAGAGGGGUGUAGAAUUCCUGGUGUAGUGGUGGAAUGCGUAGAUAUCAGGAGGAAUACCCGUGGCGAAAGCGGCACCCUGGCAUUGGCCUCACGAUCAUGUGCGAAAGCGUGGGGAGCAAACAGG
This 253-nucleotide ribosomal RNA is filed under the name uncultured bacterium. RNAcentral describes it as "partial 16S ribosomal RNA". It matches the Rfam family "Bacterial small subunit ribosomal RNA", at positions 524 to 776 of the family's 1533-position model. The record is from RNAcentral.